Long non-coding RNA from Mastomys coucha (southern multimammate mouse), 918 nucleotides. RefSeq lists it as uncharacterized. NCBI's taxonomy places the organism in Eukaryota, Metazoa, Chordata, Mammalia, Rodentia, Muridae. The transcript is spliced from 2 exons. The record is from RefSeq and is a predicted model, not a curated record.
GAGGAGAAGGAGGAGCGGACCGGGCGCAGGACGGGUCGCCACGCCCGCAGUGCUUGGGCUCCAGCGGCCCGCUGCGCUCCAAGUGAAUCCCCUGCAAACUUUUCCAGAGGAGCUGCGAACCACAGCGCCCCCGCUUUCCCGAGCUGCUCCCCGCUUUAGGGGACCCAGGGUCCGUCCAGGCUCCGCGCACUUCGCCCAGAGCUCCGCUCCUCCCCCGCACUCCUGGCUCGGACGCCAGGAGCGAGCGCGCAGCAGAAGGCGGCAGUCCCCUGGCCGCCGCUCCCGCGCCCCAACUCACCCUGUCCCAUGGCCCUGCCGGGAGCCCCGAGCUCGCAGCUGCUUCGGCUACCUCGCCCUGCAGAAGUGAGGGCAGGUUUAAGCCCGUCCAGUCUUCCCAGGAAUGCUUCUCUUGAUGUAAACAUCCAACAGCUGUGAUUUGAGGACUGGACAUUCUCUUGAUGACAGUUUAUAAGCUAAGAAAGAACAGCAGAGAUUUAGUGGCCUGCAAGUUCACAGGAAUAAAGGAAUCUCAGAUAGUGCUUGCUUGGUUGUAGUUUCGGUUCCUGCAAGAGUUCUUCUCGGAGGAGGUGUCCCACCUGACAACCAGUUGCAUUUGUAUAUUCUCUCCUUAUUCUUAGAAGCAUGCCAACAAUUUUUAAAGUAAGUCAUAUUGAUGAGUCCCAAAGCGUACGUCAGGAAAUAAUACUAAAUUAAAAAUAUAGAAAUGGAUACCUCAAGUGGCAAAUAUGUGAUUGGCAUUGAAAACAUGAUGUAGGAUAACAGAGGACUUACAUUUUUGGUUCACAUUAAAAUUAAACUAGUAUUUAUAACCCAUGCUUAAUUAAAGGUUCUUCGUUGUUCAUUCAUUGCAACCACCACCAAUGAUUUCUGGAAUUAAAAGUACUAACUACUACUCCA